CAUGGUUGUCGUCAGCUCGUGCCGUGAGGUGUCCGGGUUAAGUCCCAUAACGAGCGCAACCCUUACCGUAGUUACCAUCAGGUUAAGCUGGGGACUCUAGCGGGACUGCCACCGUAAGGUGAGAGAAGUGGGGAUGACGUCAAAUCAGCGCGGCCCUUAUGUCCAGGGCUACACACGUGUUACAAUGGCCAGUACAAAGGGCAGCUACCGGGUGACCGGAUGCUAAUCUCUAAAGCUGGUCUCAGUUCGGAUCGAAGUCUGCAACCCGACUUCGUGAAGCUGGAUUCGCUAGUAAUCGCGCAUCAGCCAUGGCGCGGUGAAUACGUUCCCGGGUCUU
RNAcentral lists this ribosomal RNA (337 nucleotides) under uncultured Sphingobacteriales bacterium. RNAcentral describes it as "bacterial SSU rRNA". It matches the Rfam family "Bacterial small subunit ribosomal RNA", at positions 1044 to 1382 of the family's 1533-position model. The record is from RNAcentral. Lineage: Bacteria; Pseudomonadati; Bacteroidota; Sphingobacteriia; Sphingobacteriales.